GCCGCCCGAUCUCGGGACCUAUUGGCUAUAUAGCAUAUAGCUUAUAGCUUGUAUCGCAUGGCGUAGGUGGUGUGGUUGGCAAAACGAGAGGGGAAGAGAGAGAGAGAGAGCGGCGAGUAAGGCAGCCGUCCUGCUGUUACUGCCACUGUGGCGUAUACGUCAUUUGUAUCUGAUGGGUUAACAGAGCGCAUCCCAAGGUUUUGCGGUGGGCAAAAUGUUUGCCCGAUUUUGGCAUACGCAAGUGACCAAGUGGGAUUGGGUGGAUGGUAUGCAAACCCACCUAUAAGGUCAGAGAUCAUUGGGAGCCAUUUUCAUGUGCAAAUUCCUCGGCGGAUUUUUGUGCGCAGUUAAUAUUAGUUUGUUUUUGUUUGCUCUUAUCUUUGUUCCGCAAAUGAUAACAUAUCUAAAUAUGUGUGAUAAUUGAACCCAAUUUGAGUUCAAGGCCUUUGGCCAAUAAUCAAAUAAAUUUAAUUGGGCCAUGUCUUUUUUUGCCAAAUCAGUGCGAAAUUUGCAUACCAUCCAAAUAUAUAUUUUUUGAGCAGUCUUGUAUCUUUUAGAUUUUAUAUCUCAUUGUCAGUCGUUUGGGGUAUGCGAUCAUCGCCAAUAUGUCUGCCAUUUCACUUAUUUUCGAUCUGGGACUUCUGCUCUUUGCAUACGAGUAAUUAUCAUUGGGAGCACUUGCAAUGCCAAAUAGACCGCAUCAUUCCAGUCAACAGAGCUUCGUCAUCCAGGGGAUGAUCGAAUUACGCCUUACGACGAAAACAAAACAAACUAUGCCGUCAACCUUUAUUUACUUAUCGAUGGGUUCUCUUAGCCGGAAGUAAAAUUUGAAUCACCCAUAAUGCUUUAAGCAUUUCCCUUUUGAUUGUAAGCGAUAGAGUGAAUCAUAAAUAACUUCUCGAUAAACUAAGCAAUCUGAAAAAAAAUAGGAAAGCUAAUUAAAAGCAUGUCUCCAUCGCCGAAUGGGCAACACAAAUCAGACUGCGAUGUGUGAAAUAAAGCCAUCAGACGACAUUAAGUCGCCCUGUCGCCCGACGCGAUUUGCAUGACAUUAACUUCGGUUUUAUGAGCGAUAUCUGUCCGAAAACUGCCGGCCAAAUUACGAUCUGUGGCCGAAAGCGGACAAGAAACCACAAAGAGAUUAAUGGAGACCGGAGCGAAUGAUUUGCCUAAUGGCCAAGUCGAAAAACAGGCGGUAAUCUGUUCCUUUCUCCCUGUGCAUUCGUUCACCACAUGGAUGAGCUUACACCAAAGGCGGAUAAGGCAGAUCAUAUAACUAAAUAAUUUAUCUUGACCUAAUUGAUUGCAAAUGCACUAUUUACUUCCUUAAGGCAUGAGUAAUUGGUGAAUCUGCUACUUGCUUGUGCAUCUAAGUUUGCUAAUCGCUGACAACACGACAACGUCGUCGAAUUCGGAAUGCAAUUAAAGCGAACUAUGCAUCAACGUGAGGAAUUGAUGACAUAGUUGAUCUGGCGGGUAAAUGAAGUCAUUAAUGUGUCGUCGACUGACUGCCUUAUCAUCGCGAAUGCCUGACUAAAACUGGCCAAUCAAUUAGCGGGUAUUUAUACAAACAUAAUUAUGCCAUUAUUUAAUUGGCCCCUGAUUAGCAUUAUUUCGAGUUACUGGCUAUGCGGUGCUAUGGCAUUUUAUUGGUAUUCCGGCCGUAUAGAUUGGUGGCAUUCCAUGGCGCUGAAGUCACAAUAUGCUGUGCUAAAUUGUUGGACACAAGUACCUGUAGUGGGAACAGGCGGAAGAGACGAAAGAGGCGUAUUCUCGAUACACGAAACUAGUUCAAGAACAAGCCAAUCCAAUGGCAAUCCCACCUGUCAUGUAACUUCCUUAUCGCGAAUGUUAUCGACGCGAUUUACAUUGUUCAAUUUGGUGGACAGAUUCGCGUUAUUUCGUCAUAGCGCCAACUGAUAAGUUCGCUUGGCUUGGCGUUAUAAAAGCGGUUUCCCCCCAAAUAAAUGCCUGUUUAUCGUCUAGGAAGUGGUGAGUGGAAUUUAAAUCAGCUCUGACUGUCUCGAAUUUGAAAGGAAUUUUUUCGAAUUUGUAAAUAUUUUUUUGAAGAAAUUUCUAUCGGACUGCGAAGCAAUCUAUUUUCAGAAAUUAAUAACUGUGGUUAAUCGUUGCCAAGUCGAAUGGAUUGCAAGGCAAGGCAAAUUCAACGAAGAAUGCAUAAAUAUUUGCCAGAAUUCAUUGAGAGUUGCCAAGGCAUUUUCAACCAUCCAUAAUCAAUUUACUGAUCAUUAAAAAGAGUAUUUAUUUGCUCAACUCUUUAACGGUCUGUCUUUGUUUAUGUGCAAUUGCGAAUGGGAAUUUUGAACUUGUUGAUCAAGCAAUUAAUGUAGUAUACACCAGCAGGAAUUUUGGCUUUCUCCUUGGCAUUUAAGGUCACCAGCUGGAACCGAAACUGCAACCUUGGGCGAAUCGAUUGGGUGAGAAUUUCGGCAUGAUUGCAGUGCGUAUGGUUCCCCAGAACUUUCGUCUAGGUAUGCCAGGAAUUUGUAUCAAUAAAUCGAACUGCGCCUUCAUAUAUGUAUGUCUUCAAGAUCGAGGUCACCCAGUUUGGCACGCAAUAUUCGCAUCAGUUCCAUUUUGGGUGGAAUGUUGGUCAAAUAGUGACGAAAUACCACCGAAUUGAAUUAAUUUCAUUUGUCAAUUGGGUCCAUUUCUCGGUCGGCAGCCACAAACGAGAAGAGAACACGACCCAAUGGAGGUCACUUUUUUUUCUUUUGGCAUAUUUGUGUUUAAUGUCUCAAAUUGUCGAUUCGUUUCAAUUACACUCCACUUGUGGGGCAUCGAGUGCAGGGCACUCUACUUGCUUUCAUGCAAUUUACAUACUUUCUGCUCGCCAGUCUGACAUUGAAAGAGAAUUAUUAUGUUAACAAUUAAGCAAACGGAAUAAAAGAUACAAAAAUGCGGCGACAGAGGUGUCAGGCAUAUUAAAUGCGGCAA
Long non-coding RNA from Drosophila yakuba, 2958 nucleotides. RefSeq lists it as uncharacterized. The transcript is spliced from 2 exons. Lineage: Eukaryota; Metazoa; Arthropoda; Insecta; Diptera; Drosophilidae. The record is from RefSeq and is a predicted model, not a curated record.